RNAcentral lists this unclassified non-coding RNA (433 nucleotides) under soil metagenome. Its description in RNAcentral is "partial contains 5.8S ribosomal RNA, internal transcribed spacer 2, and large subunit ribosomal RNA". The stretch from base 1 to 120 matches the Rfam family "5.8S ribosomal RNA", at positions 35 to 154 of the family's 154-position model. The record is from RNAcentral.
GAUGAAGAACGCAGCGAAAUGCGAUACGUAAUGUGAAUUGCAGAAUUCAGUGAAUCAUCGAAUCUUUGAACGCAUAUUGCGCUCUCUGGUAUUCCGGAGAGCAUGCUUGUUUGAGUAUCAGUAAACACCUCAACUUCCAUAUCUUUUUUGAAAUGGGAGUUGGACUUGAGUGAUCCCAACGCUUUUCCUCACCGAAAAGUGGCGGGUUACUUGAAAUGCAGGUGCAGCUGGACUUUUCUCUGAGCUAUAAGCAUAUCUAUUUAGUCUGCCUAAAAAACAGAUUAUUACCUUUGCUGCAGCUAACAUAAAGGAGAUUAGUUCUUGUGCUGACUGAUNNNGGAUUCACAAAGACAGGCUUCGGCCGACUUUGUAAACUCGAUCUCAAAUCAAGUAAGACUACCCGCUGAACUUAAGCAUAUCAAUAAGCGGAGGA